Pelodiscus sinensis (Chinese soft-shelled turtle) is the source of this 1428-nucleotide non-coding RNA. The record is from RefSeq and is a predicted model, not a curated record. Lineage: Eukaryota; Metazoa; Chordata; Testudines; Trionychidae.
ACCUUCAGCAGAGAGUCCAUGCACCUGCACUUGGUUCCUGUUAGAGACAGGAUUUUGCAGUGGAUCGUUUGCAAACAAUUUUGUUUGGUUUCAUUCCUCCUCUGCUUGCCACGAGUUCUACUGGGGAUGCUGAACGUUGGGUUUCCUGAUCACCAAAGAUACUGUGGUCGUCACCACGGUGACUGGGACACCUCCGUACAAUUGUGCAAUGGAAGGGUCGAGGUCACCACCCAGGGUGCCUUCAGUACAAUCGGAGAUGCAGGGAAUCACACUGCUCAGACCUGGCCCAUUGUGAGGGAAGCAGGAUGUUCCGCACUUAGGGCAAGGGACACUGACAGAGACUAGGACCAGCAGGGAGGGGCCCUGAAGGAAGUGUGCGCAGGGGAGAGCUCCACGAGUCCCACUCCAUCCAUGUCACAGGAACGGGGGACAAGUGGCCACAGCGCAGAGGUGGAAUCAGCUUUCCAAAGGCGACAGUGCGACGAUCCUGCCUCAGCUGAUGGGAUCCCUGCAGCUUCGCUGCCAGAGGCCCGUAGGGCACCACCGCAGACGUGAGAAGUGACACUGAGUGUUCCUAUCCGGAGCUCAGGGACUCUCCUUCCCAUGGCAACGGAGUGGACACGAACCAGCCCCGUGGCUCUCUCCGGAGGAGGAAGUGACUCUGUCCUUCGCUGCCAAAGGCACAAGCAAGUUCUGUCAGAGUAAAGCAAUGGGCAGAACCCAGUCUGGGGAGAGGCUGCAGAUUUCCCUGCUUGGUCUCGCCACGGACAAGGAAGCGCUAGGUCAUAUGUGGAGCUGCAGGGAUGACAGAUGGCUGCACUUCACAGGAAGGACUUCCCUGAUCUAGCUGAUCCACCCUUCUUCAGGAGAUGAUGCCUUUGGCUGUUCCUACAAGGAGUUUUCCAGGUUUGGCCAUUGUUGCUCAUUUAUCAAAGGUCAAGCAGGAAGAAGCAGAACUGGUCCGUUUCUGUCCACAGGUAAGCAAUGCACCAACUCACUGCCCAGGCCUAGGAAUAAAAGGCUGCAUUUCUAGUUCCAGGGAAAAUGAAGAUCUUGCAGUUCAGAGAAGGAAGAAAAGAGGAGGGUUUUAACCCUUGGACCUGGCGGUAUUGGCAAGAAUUCAAGGUCUGUGGUCGAACAUCAUUACAGGUAAGUGAGCUUGAAAAGUGUCUAGAAAUUUAAUGAACUGGUUGCUAAAGAGCCAUCUCCGUCCUAGCUGGCAACGCGUAAUAAUAAUAAAUAACAUGCUGUAUGUCCACCAUCGAUGAUUGCAGGUUUUCCUAGCUCGAGAUGUGGACAGACUUGAGACCAAGCCUACCAGGAAGAUGUGAGGAACGGUGGGAAGAGGUAAGAAAUCCCGGACUCAGGUAUCUAUGUGCAUAUCAAACCAUGUCGAUUUUCCUUUCAGGAAGAAGAACUGCUCUUGUC